This 253-nucleotide ribosomal RNA is filed under the name uncultured bacterium. RNAcentral's name for it is "partial 16S ribosomal RNA". It matches the Rfam family "Bacterial small subunit ribosomal RNA", at positions 524 to 776 of the family's 1533-position model. The record is from RNAcentral.
UACAGAGGGUGCAAACGUUGUUCGGAAUUACUGGGCGUAAAGCGAGUGUAGGCGGUUUGGUAAGUCGGAUGUGAAAGCCCUGGGCUCAACCCAGGAAGUGCAUUCGAUACUGUCAAGCUAGAGUAUCGGAGAGGUUGGUGGAAUUCUCGGUGUAGAGGUGAAAUUCGUAGAUAUCGAGAGGAACACCGGUGGCGAAGGCGGCCAACUGGACGAAUACUGACGCUGAGACUCGAAAGCGUGGGGAGCAAACAGG